AUAAGAGUGACUCUGUGCAGUUCUCUCACUUGUGGGGCUCAGAAGCAGAGCCUGCGGAGUCUCCACCAUGGCCUGGACCCCUCUCCUCCUUGCCCUCCUCGCUCACUGCUCAGGGUCCUUAGCGCAGGCUGGGCUGACGCAGGAAGCCUCCGUGUCAGGGUCUGUGGGACAGAAGGUCACCCUCUCCUGCACUGGAAACAGCAACAAUGUUGGAAGGUAUGGUGCAGGCUGGUACCAAGUGAUUCCUGGUGCUGCCCCCAAAACUGUGAUGCUCGGCACUUCUCGGCCCUCAGGGAUCCCAGGUCGGUUCUCCGGCUCCAAGUCUGGCAACACGGCCUCCCUGACCAUCAUGGGCCUCCAGCCUGAGGACGAGGCUGAUUAUUAAUGCUCAGCGUGGGAUUACAGCCUCAGUACUCACACAGUGCUGCAGGUCAGUGGGGAAGUGAAACAAUAACCCACAUUCUCAUCUUCCAGGAGAUUGAUCACCUAGAAGCUGCCAGCUCAGGCUCAGCCUGUGACUUCUGUUUAUUCUUUUGCUCAUGUCCUGCGUCCAUAUUCAUCCAGGGAGUGAAGCCUCCUCUAACUUCGCCCUCAAAGUCACUGGCAGUAGCCGCUUCCUAGGCAAAGGGUUCUGAGGAAAACAGAAAGUCGAUCUCCCAAACAGCUGGGGACAGUUUACUUCCAGACUGUUCACAUUCAUAUUUUCUUGUUAUGUUACGUUAAAUGGAACAUAUUCUUGGGCGCCUGAACCUAUCAUGUGACCUCAGAACUGUUAUUGUUGUGCUUGAAGGAUAAGUCAACCCCGUUUGCACUGACAUUUUGAUUGACUUAAACUCAACUAGUGCUGACUAAGUUUGUUUUCUGUUUUUUUACUCCAAUCCCCCACCCACUCCCCUUUGGCAUCGGCUUGCUCUCUAUAUCCGUGGUUCUGUUUUCGAUUAUUUUGUUGGUUUGUUUGUUUAUUUCGUUGUUUUAGAUUGCACAUGUAACUGAGACCGUCAGUAUUUUUCUUUCUCUCUCUGACUUAUUUCACUUAGUGUAAUACCCUCUAGUUCCAUCCAUGUUGCCUUUUUUGUGGCUGAAUAAUAUGCCAUUGUGCAUAUGUGUAUAUGUCACAUUUUUACAUAGUCAUGCGUUUAUGGACAUAUAGUUUGCUUCUGUAUCUUGCCUAUUACUUGUAAUGCCGCAAGGAACUUACGAAUGCACAUAUCUUUUUAAAUUAGUGUUUUUAAUUUUGUUUUCUGAUAUUUAGUGAAAACUAUGACAUUUAAAAAUUAUAAAACUAUCACAGAUUUGUGGUUUCCAGAGGUAACUGAAUGAAGGGAGUGGUUCAAGUGGGUGAAGGGAGUAAAAGGUGUAAACUUCCAGUCAUGAAAUAAAUAUUCCUGGGGGUGUACCUUAGAGCACGGCCACUAUGGCUGGUGGUACUGUAAUAUUACAUAUUUAAAUAUUGCUAAAAGAGUAGAUCUUACAAAGUCUCAGAAGGAGAAGAAAACAAUUCUGUCACUAUGUAUGGCAACAGAUGUUAA
This is a non-coding RNA of Rhinolophus ferrumequinum (greater horseshoe bat), 1529 nucleotides long. The record is from the annotation of a RefSeq genome assembly. NCBI's taxonomy places the organism in Eukaryota, Metazoa, Chordata, Mammalia, Chiroptera, Rhinolophidae.